Molecule: ribosomal RNA, 421 nt
Filed under: uncultured bacterium
Lineage: Bacteria
Description: bacterial SSU rRNA
Rfam family: Bacterial small subunit ribosomal RNA
Source: RNAcentral
UAAGGAAUAUUGGUCAAUGGACGCAAGUCUGAACCAGCCAUGCCGCGUGAAGGAUGAAGGUCCUCUGGAUUGUAAACUUCUUUUAUCUGGGACGAAAACGGGAUUUUUAUCUCAAUUGACGGUACCAGAGGAAUAAGCAUCGGCUAACUUCGUGCCAGCAGCCGCGGUAAUACGAAGGAUGCAAGCGUUAUCCGGAAUUAUUGGGUUUAAAGGGUGCGUAGGCGGACUAAUAAGUCAGUGGUGAAAGCCUGCAGCUUAACUGCAGAAUUGCCAUUGAUACUGUUAGUCUUGAGUACAGUUGAGGUAGGCGGAAUGUGUCAUGUAGCGGUGAAAUGCUUAGAUAUGACACAGAACACCGAUUGCGAAGGCAGCUUGCUAAGCUGUAACUGACGCUGAGGCACGAAAGCGUGGGGAGCAAACA